This 385-nucleotide ribosomal RNA is filed under the name uncultured bacterium. RNAcentral describes it as "bacterial SSU rRNA". It matches the Rfam family "Bacterial small subunit ribosomal RNA", at positions 30 to 417 of the family's 1533-position model. The record is from RNAcentral.
AUUGAACGCUGGCGGAAUGCUUUACACAUGCAAGUCGAACGGCAGCACGGGGCAACCUGGUGGCGAGUGGCGAACGGGUGAGUAAUACAUCGGAACGUGCCCAAUCGUGGGGGAUAACGUAGCGAAAGUUACGCUAAUACCGCAUACGAUCUACGGAUGAAAGCGGGGGAUCGCAAGACCUCGCGCGAUUGGAGCGGCCGAUGUCAGAUUAGGUAGUUGGUGGGGUAAAGGCUCACCAAGCCGACGAUCUGUAGCUGGUUUGAGAGGACGACCAGCCACACUGGGACUGAGACACGGCCCAGACUCCUACGGGAGGCAGCAGUGGGGAAUUUUGGACAAUGGGGGCAACCCUGAUCCAGCCAUUCCGCGUGAGUGAAGAAGGCCU